CCAGGCUGAAUCUGUUUUGCAGCAUGAAAAGAAGGAACACAGUGCCAUUGUCCUGGAAAGAAGUGAGCGCUGCCCAGCUCCCAGCCUGUCGUACAUGGCAGGGCUGCCCUGGCCCUGAGCGGGCUGAUUCCACUGGAGAGAUGCUUUUAACCCAGAUCCACUUUAGGGAUCUGAGAACCAGCCAUCUAGCCUUGAAAUCCAUAGAAAUGCCAGGGAAAAUCACUCUCUUCCACUGGCCUGCUGACUACAGAGGGAGCCCAGGGUGACCACCUGGCUGGUUUAACUGCUCAUCAAUGAAUCACAACGCUGCACGGAACAAGUAACUUUCCUUAAAGGACCCCCUCUAAAAUCUUUUCAGGUUUCAGCAGGUAUAUGAUGGCAGGAAUCUGCUACAAAUUUCUAUGAAGAAAUAUAUUGCCAGUAGGGAAUUAAAAAGGCAAAAAGUGUUGCUUAGCCUAUCUGUAGAGAGAACGACAUGAAAUAACAGGAAUAUGCAAAACUAAACCAGCCCAACACUGACAGCUGGACUAAUCAUCAUAAAGAAACUCAGUGACCAUACUUUGAUGACAAGCCAGAUGGCAGCUGUUCCCCAAGCCCAGUGCCAAGAAAGAUGAUUGGAGCUGCAAUUUACCUUCCGUGGUGAAGCUCAAUGCUGGAGCAUACCACAGCUGCGGAUUUGGCUGCUGCCAGUAGGUGUGUGCACAGUUGGUUUCCUCCCAAUUUGGAUUCAUCAGCUGUGCUUUUUGCUGGGAUCCUUUAGAAGACCAGACUCUGAAUCCUGGUAUUAAGACUUGCUACAAUUCUCCAAGGCAUUCAGGGACCAGUUGUCUGGCUUGGAAAACUACUUCUUAGUGGUUCAGUAUGUUCACAAACUUCCUUUAGGUAAAAAAAGGUGUGUGAAGGUGAUGAGGACAGAUCCUUUUGGAGCUGCUCAGCACUGGGGAAGGCAUGCAGACAGCAGAAAAGCCAUUUGCUGGGAUAACAGCCGUUCCAGAUGUGUGAAAAGCCCAACAUGCAUAGAAAAAUAUGAAGCAGAACUUUGGCAGUGCACAGUUACGAGAGGAGAUUAUGUUAUUGAAAUGGUGAGGUGUGAGGCAGACUCGAUCUCACACACAUGUGGCCUUGUUGCAGCUUCUCAGAAGAUAAACAAUUAGGUGGGAUCAGAGAGCGAGAGAGGGAAGAGACGUCUCUGCCAUGAUGCAGGCCAGUGGAGAUAAAGCAAUGAACCACAGAUGAUCUUCACUGGUCCAUCCAUGACCGCUCUGCUGUGAUUUCUGUGACAUGUCCUUCAAAAGAGCAUUCACCUUUCUGUUGCAGCUGCUGACCUCUUGCUUCUGCCUGUUUCUCCAUGUUUUACCAUCCACUUCAGAAAGGGGCUAGCAAUUAUGUGCCUGAUGUUUCCCUAACCUUGACCACCUUGAAAUGUGAUUUUGUGAUUUUUGUUGAAAUAUAGGACAUGGAUCCCUUGCAGGCUUUUACAAACAUGAGAGUUCCCAUGUGUCGUUGACACUGAUGAAUUGCUAGAUCACUACAGAACAACUUGGAAAUGGCAACGAAGCUGGCUCCACUGCAGCUAACUUGAGCUCCUGAGAGGGACCAGAGGGGUUUUUUGAUUCUUUUUAUUAUGUGAUAUCAAUUAAGCAUUUAACAAGUUACAAUAAAAAGCAACUUUCCAAUGGAAUUUUUAAUGCAAUGAAAACAAAUUACCUUCAAGAUGGUUAUCAUUUGGAAUCUUGAAGAGAAUGAAAAUAAGGCAAAUGCCAACACAUAUUCAUCCAGAUUGCCCAUAACAACUUGCCAGGCAUCCCUGUUUCAAAUCAAGUAAAUCUGUGCAGCUUCUCUUUGACAGCAACACAAAAUCCCUUGUGAAAUGUAUUGAAUGGCACAGCUGAGGCAGAAUGUUAGCAGAAGAUACUGCGCCAAGCAGCUUUUGUUUUGAAGUGGGUACUUCUGUUAUGCAAUCCUCUUAGAAUUUGCUUCUUUCAAAGAAUGAAAGACAAAAAAAAAUAGCCUCAGCAAACAAAAACCACAAAUCCCAUACAUUUCUUAGCUUGGUUGAUGCUUCUCCACUUGGACACAGUAUAUUCACAGCAAUUCCAAAAUUCUGGCAUUGUCACAUACUAUAUUUGUGUCACUCAGCUGGAAUAAAGGACCAAACAGUGCAUGGCUGGGAUGAAGGUGUUUAGUGGAAGCGUGAGGCUUCAACUCUCUCAACAAGAAACAUAAACAGAAAAUAGAAGUGGAAUUCACUAAUAUCAACAAUGUGCUAAAUAAGCCCAUGAGCAACUUUAACAACUCACUUUAAUUCUGAGACUUUCUGUAGUCACAAGGAAGAUGAGACUACGGACAGAACUUUCUUAAUAUGGAAACAUGAAUUUAUAAGCUUAAGAUCUUGUCCAUGUAAUUUUGCAUAUAUCCAAAAUAAAGAAACCUAAACUUAA
Parus major (Great Tit) is the source of this 2441-nucleotide long non-coding RNA. RefSeq lists it as uncharacterized. NCBI's taxonomy places the organism in Eukaryota, Metazoa, Chordata, Aves, Passeriformes, Paridae. The transcript is spliced from 10 exons. The record is from RefSeq and is a predicted model, not a curated record.